RNAcentral lists this transfer RNA (72 nucleotides) under Geitlerinema sp. FC II. Its description in RNAcentral is "tRNA-Met". It matches the Rfam family "tRNA". From Rfam's summary of the family: Transfer RNA (tRNA) molecules are approximately 80 nucleotides in length. Their secondary structure includes four short double-helical elements and three loops (D, anti-codon, and T loops). Lineage: Bacteria; Bacillati; Cyanobacteriota; Cyanophyceae; Geitlerinematales; Geitlerinemataceae. The record is from RNAcentral.
GCGGGGAUGGAGCAAUGGUGGCUUCUCAGGUUCAUACCCUGGAGAUCGGUAGGUUCGAUUCCUACCCCCGCG